Molecule: ribosomal RNA, 255 nt
Filed under: Escherichia coli
Lineage: Bacteria; Pseudomonadati; Pseudomonadota; Gammaproteobacteria; Enterobacterales; Enterobacteriaceae
Description: partial 16S ribosomal RNA
Rfam family: Bacterial small subunit ribosomal RNA
Source: RNAcentral
UUUGAUCAUGGCUCAGAUUGAACGCUGGCGGCAGGCCUAACACAUGCAAGUCGAACGGUAACAGGAAACAGCUUGCUGUUUCGCUGACGAGUGGCGGACGGGUGAGUAAUGUCUGGGAAACUGCCUGGUGGAGGGGGAUAACUACUGGAAACGGUAGCUAAUACCGCAUAACGUCGCAAGACCAAAGAGGGGGACCUUCGGGCCUCUUGCCAUCGGAUGUGCCCAGAUGGGAUUAGCUAGUAGGUGGGGUAACGG